AUAUUUGACCUAGGUAUGGAGUAA
Molecule: non-coding RNA, 24 nt
Filed under: Gossypium hirsutum (cotton)
Lineage: Eukaryota; Viridiplantae; Streptophyta; Magnoliopsida; Malvales; Malvaceae
Source: RNAcentral